Molecule: ribosomal RNA, 423 nt
Filed under: uncultured Eubacterium sp.
Lineage: Bacteria; Bacillati; Bacillota; Clostridia; Eubacteriales; Eubacteriaceae
Description: bacterial SSU rRNA
Rfam family: Bacterial small subunit ribosomal RNA
Source: RNAcentral
UGGGGAAUAUUGCACAAUGGGCGCAAGCCUGAUGCAGCAACGCCGCGUGAAGGAAGACGGUUUUCGGAUUGUAAACUUCUGUUCUUAGUGAAGAAUAAUGACGGUAGCUAAGGAGCAAGCCACGGCUAACUACGUGCCAGCAGCCGCGGUAAUACGUAGGUGGCAAGCGUUGUCCGGAAUUACUGGGUGUAAAGGGAGCGCAGGCGGGUGAUCAAGUCAGCUGUGAAAACUACGGGCUCAACCCAUAAACUGCAGUUGAAACUGUUAUUCUUGAGUGGAGUAGAGGCAAGCGGAAUUCCGAGUGUAGCGGUGAAAUGCGUAGAUAUUCGGAGGAACACCAGUGGCGAAGGCGGCUUGCUGGGCUCUAACUGACGCUGAGGCACGAAAGCGUGGGUAGCAAACAGGAUUAGAUACCCUGGUAGU